Molecule: ribosomal RNA, 550 nt
Filed under: uncultured bacterium
Lineage: Bacteria
Description: bacterial SSU rRNA
Rfam family: Bacterial small subunit ribosomal RNA
Source: RNAcentral
AGCGGCGGACGGGUGAGUAAUGCCUGGGAAUAUGCCCUGAUGUGGGGGAUAACUAUUGGAAACGAUAGCUAAUACCGCAUAAUCUCUUCGGAGCAAAGAGGGGGACCUUCGGGCCUCUCGCGUCAGGAUUAGCCCAGGUGGGAUUAGCUUGUUGGUGAGGUAAUGGCUCACCAAGGCAACGAUCCCUAGCUGGUCUGAGAGGAUGAUCAGCCACACUGGAACUGAGACACGGUCCAGACUCCUACGGGAGGCAGCAGUGGGGAAUAUUGCACAAUGGGGGAAACCCUGAUGCAGCCAUGCCGCGUGUGUGAAGAAGGCCUUCGGGUUGUAAAGCACUUUCAGUAGGGAGGAAGGUAGUGUAGUUAACACCUGCAUUAUUUGACGUUACCUGCAGAAGAAGCACCGGCUAACUCCGUGCCAGCAGCCGCGGUAAUACGGAGGGUGCGAGCGUUAAUCGGAAUUACUGGGCGUAAAGCGCAUGCAGGCGGCCUGUUAAGUCAGAUGUGAAAGCCCGGGGCUUAACCUCGGAAUUGCAUUUGAAACUGGCAGG